ACGUAGGGGGCAAGCGUUAUCCGGAUUUACUGGGUGUAAAGGGAGCGUAGACGGACGGGCAAGUCUGAAGUGAAAGGCAGGGGCUCAACUCCUGGACUGCUUUGGAAACUGUCCAUCUAGAGUGCCGGAGAGGUAAGCGGAAUUCCUAGUGUAGCGGUGAAAUGCGUAGAUAUUAGGAGGAACACCAGUGGCGAAGGCGGCUUACUGGACGGUAACUGACGUUGAGGCUCGAAAGCGUGGGGAGCAAACAG
Molecule: ribosomal RNA, 251 nt
Filed under: uncultured bacterium
Lineage: Bacteria
Description: partial 16S ribosomal RNA
Rfam family: Bacterial small subunit ribosomal RNA
Source: RNAcentral